GCCUGGAUAGCUCGGCUGGUUAGAGCGCGGUGCCGAUGAAGGCCAGAUUGCAGGUUCGAUCCCUGUAUGGGACA
This is a non-coding RNA of Podarcis lilfordi (Lilford's wall lizard), 74 nucleotides long. NCBI's taxonomy places the organism in Eukaryota, Metazoa, Chordata, Lepidosauria, Squamata, Lacertidae. The record is from the annotation of a GenBank genome assembly.